ACCGUGUUUUGUGAAUAGCGCCAUCAAUCGUUUGUAAUCGUACAACCAAAAAACACGUGCUUGCAAACAUAAUUUGAAUCGAAAUAUGACGUUCCAUGCGAAUCUUGUGACUGCAGGAUGCGGUGAGGCGGACACGUGCCAGGAGGUGUGUCCAGCAGAGGCCAGUGUCUUGGUGAUGCUGUGCGGAGACGCAGUGUCUUAUGACGAGCAUGAAUUAUGUGACGGGCUUGUGUUGAUGAUGUGUCGGGGUGAAUUGUAAGCUGUACUAUUGAAUGCAGAAAGGUGCUUGCUGUGUCAAGUUGUCCGGAUGAGUCUUAUGAUGGUUCUGCAUCCGAGGAUAAACUGAGAUGUGGAUAUCUGCAAGGAGAGAACUGGACUCGGCAAAUGCCAGAAGGUCAUUUGUAAACCCCCCCCCCUUCCCAACUAGAUAUUGAUUGGCUGUGACGGAAGAGGCGAGAAGUUGCCGGUCAUUCGUUCUAGUCGACGCUCUGACUGAAUGAAGGAUGAUUCAGCAGCAGAAUGGACAUGUAAACAGGUCAUGGUUGAUUGAGGACGGGAUGAGAAAUCGCGGGAUGCAUCGUCGACCGCAUACGCCAAAGCGAGAGCAAGACUUGCGAGCAGAUAACGAUGGUAAACAGAGAUGGAGCAUCUAGGAUUGCACAACAGCGGACCGGUGUUUACUAAACACUCCCCGAUGAGUCUGGAUAGUGGUGUAUCGAAGAGUGGUUUGGAUAACCGGAGAGAGUCUUUAAACAGAUGCCGGUUGUAGGCUCGGCGAUAGGUUACACCGUAUCCAGGCUUCCUUUACGUCAACAGGUUUGCUGGAUGUGAGCACACAUUGAUUGCAAAAUGGUGAACGAAUAAAACCUUAGAUUGGAAAAGAUGGUAGAAAAUAGACACAAGGACAGGCUAUUAUAACCUGCAGUUCGAAGAAAGUCAAGAUUUCGGGGAACCAAAUUUUGACUAAGUGUGAGUGAAUUCGUCUCAGUCGAACAUAUUUAGUUGACUGGCUGUGUGAAUGAAGUUGGAAUCAUGUUGUACAAGACGGCUUUUAGAAGCAAACAUAACGCAAGGAUGUACUCGGUGGCCUACGGCUUCAUGCUGCCAUGGAUCUGGUCGGUCAACCGACUUCUGUCCUUAGUGAUACGGACGACAGAUGAAUCCCGAAAUGAGGAGGAGGCACCAUGCUACGAACGCUGCGUGAUUCUCCUCUUCUCGCUGCCUGUCUGCCUCGCCCUGAUCAUCGCGUUCUCCCCCUUUGCGUUGUUUGGUUUCAUCGCCAGGGUGUAUCUAGCCAGCAAGCGUGCCCCGUACAUGUACUCCUUUGCAGACACACCAAGUCGGGUCAACGUUAACGAGUGUAUAUGGGCGGAUCUCUCAUCCAAACACUUCUUCAAACUCGCCGUUAUCGAUACUUGCCUUAUGCCGGAGGGCAUGUCAAGAUUAAACAACCUCCGGAAUGUUCAGACCCGGUCGGUCAAUCUCGCACGUCGGAUCAUUAACUCGCAAGUCAGACCAAGCCCAAGGAUUUUUGUCCAAUCUCCAUCGGACAGUGAACUGAAAACCUACAGCAUACACCCACCGGCCUCCACCAACCCAAUGAGUCUGUUUAAUGUCGGAGAAAGCAAUCAACUAGACGUCAGUGACGCAGAAGUGUCCUGUGUGACGUACACAAAUAUCCUACCGGAAGAAACGUCCUUCUUUGCGCAGGGUACCGAUAAGAUCAGGGAUAAUUGUGAGAACGGGGAACCCAUUCACCAAUGCAAUGGGGACACACCUCUUACACCGGACACACCUGUCAAUGGAGACAUGUUAAGAGAUUCUAGAGAUGCCGAUCAAGACUCAAGAAAUGAUCCGCUAGAUAACUUGAACUCUGUGCCUGAUAUCGUACCCAAAGACAUCUCGGAUACCCCAACGCCAUCAGAAUCCUUGGCCUCCACUCCAAACUUAGACUGUAGCAUUCAGAUUGAGGUACCUAUAACACCUUUCCAUGAGCCAAAGCCCCACACACUCACUGGCGGUCCUCAACAUCAAAAACUCCACAGUGAAAAUAAGAUAGGAGACGUUCCUUCACCGUCGGAACACGCCGUCAACAUCAAUUUUCCCGCCGGUUUGGACUUCAUCUGUUUUCAAGAGGUCUUCGAGCGCAGAGCCGCCAAGAAACUUGUCAAGACUCUCCACCUGUGGUUCAGUCACAUCAUCUACGACGUAGGCGUGGACUCCUGGAGAAUUAACAGACAUUUCUUGAACAGUGGUCUGUUGUUUGCCAGCCGCUACCCAAUCCUGGACGCAGCGUUUGAAUGUUUCAGUCAGAGUCAGAACGAAGAUCGGGCAGUUUCCAAGGGACUUCUGAUGGUCAAGGUCCAAGUUGGCAAGACGCGAGAGGGUCAUCCCGUGGUGGGUUACAUCGCAGUCACACAACUCCAAGCUGCACAAGAAACCAAUAUCCGCUCGGGCCAGCUGGAUUGCAUUCUCAACUGGCUGAGCAGUUUCCAUAGCAACACUCACACGGAAUACCUGGAGUUGGUGGCUUUCGAUCUGCUGUGCGGCAACUUCAAUUUUGACAACAUGUCACCAGGUGAUAUGCCAGACUGGAGCCAUCCUGUAUUCCUUAUAUACCACGACCCGUGUAGACAGAGGCCGGGACUAGACCGAGCCUGGACUGUUGGCACCAUACUCAGGAAGAAGCGUCUUCAAGACGAAGAGGUUUGCACACCAGAGGGCUUACAGAGUGCUCUAGAGGAUCCUCAACAGCGAGGCAACUAUCUUGAGGAUGCUGAGGUCUUUGAGGCUGGAGGUGAGGCUGUCCGAUGGGGAGCCUCGGAUAGCAGUCACUAUGAGGGAGUCGGCAGGCGGAGGGUAGAUUAUAUCCUGUAUAGCAACCAUAGGACACAUAUGCAACAGCUCUGUGAAGAGUACAGCUUUGUCAGUCAGCUAGCCACGUUGACCGAUCACGUUCCCCUCAGCAUGACGUUUUCCACGGCCAUCGGUCCCGGGGCGAUGCAGGAAUGGCCCCAAGCUGUGACACCAGACAGUAAUGGUUCUCAUUCCUGUAAGAUCAUGUAUGAAACCACUGUCUGAUAAUUGAUGAACCUGCUGUGCAGAUCCACGCUUUUAAAGGUCCAUUAGUUCAAAUGAGUUUCUCCAUGGAAACCCUUCCGAUUAUCUCGCCAGGCAGACUGUGGAGCUCCAUUGGGGUGGAUGGCUGAAAAAAAAAUCCCAAUUUUUUUUUCAUGAAGACAGUAUCUGUCUUCAGAGUAGGUAAGUUAAAGUAAUUAGAGUUUACAUUUAAUAGCACUCUCUUGUUGAUACUAAUUCAUUUUUUCCCCAUG
This 3332-nucleotide unclassified non-coding RNA is filed under the name Patiria miniata (bat star). RNAcentral describes it as "sphingomyelin phosphodiesterase 5-like, transcript variant X1". The record is from RNAcentral. Lineage: Eukaryota; Metazoa; Echinodermata; Asteroidea; Valvatida; Asterinidae.